GGACCCGAGCAGGUGGCUUCAGAUGCCAGAAUAUGAAUAAGACUUGUCAAGAAUCACAAAGUAAGGUCUGACUAGUCAGGGCAGACGGGAGGAAAGAACACUUCCAUCACAGUCUGAUGUGCUUCCUGUGAGCACACCCUUUUCUGGUUCCUCAGGUCUGAUGCCACUGCUGAUGUUCAAAAUAAAGGAGUUGGUGUUGAGUAUGUACUGAGAGGUGUGGACUAGAUGCUGAGCCUAAAGUCUUGAUAAAUUAGGCCUUCCACUUAAAGAGGGAAGGAAUGAACAAGGUCUCCUAGAGGCAGCACUGAGCCUCAGAUUGGAAGGCGGGGGAGCAGAGGUAUUAAAAUCUGACAGGUCCGGAGGGCUUGGAAUCUGCUCUCGGGCAGUUAAAGUGCAGUCCAGCCAACUGGCUAGUCCCAGUGGGGACAGAGCCCUUGGUAGUCUCAUGCCACCCACACAACAGCCUCUGGGCCUGGCUCCUGACAGCCUGGUGAAGCCGCUUGUGAACCUCUGAGUUUCUGGGCUCUGCCAAGGCUGGGCCAUUACUCCUGGGAGUGGGUGAGUGGGUUUGGCUGGAGACGAUGGUGACUUGGACAGCUGGCUGUGUGUCAGUGCAUGCCCGGUUUGCAGUGUGUGGUUACAUAUUUCCAUGUCAUUUGAAGAUGAUACUAUCUGCUCAUUUGCAGAAAUUGGACGUUUCUAGACCUGUGAUUUGAUGAGAACAUAGCUCUGGAGCUCCACCAAGGUGGUGGGUGAACUUUUCUUCCUGAGGGUGCUGGACUUUCCACACACGCCCCCAUGGGAGGGGACCCAGGGGACUCAAGCUGUUGGUCCAAGGUAAAAGGCAGUGGUCUCCAAACAUGACAGGCUCUACAUUCAAAUCACUUGGGGAGCAGCUUAAAGUACAGAUUGCUCGGCCCACCCAACUCGGGAUGGGGACUGCAGGGUGACUGGGAGACCACCUGGAAAAAGUAAAAGUACCCCAAUUCCCUCCUUACAGCACAAUCAACUGGGUGAGAGUUUUCAAUGUAACAGAUUAGACCACAAAAUUUAGAAGGAACUGUAAGUCUAAAAAGCUAGAGACAAAUCGAGGAACUAAUACAUGUGAAAGGGGUUAGUGUCCUUCAUAUGAAAAGAGCUCCAACAAAUCAAUAAAAAGCACAAUACCAGGCUGGCCCGGUGGUGCAGUGGUUAAGUUCACACAUUCUGCUUUGGUGGCCCAGGGUUCACUGGUUCAGAUCCCAGAUGCAGACAUGGCACUGCUUGGCAAGCCAUGCUGUGGUAGGCAUCCCACAUAUAAAGUAGAGGAAGAUGGGCAUGGAUAUUAGCUCAGGGCCAGCCUUCCUCAGCAAAAAGAGGAGGAUUGGCAACAGAUGUUAGCUCAGGGAUAAUCUUCCUCAAAAAAAAAAAAAAAA
RNAcentral lists this long non-coding RNA (1415 nucleotides) under Equus caballus (horse). RNAcentral describes it as "lncRNA (ENSECAG00000060165.1)". Lineage: Eukaryota; Metazoa; Chordata; Mammalia; Perissodactyla; Equidae. The record is from RNAcentral.